AGGAUGAACGCUGGCGGUGUGCCUAAUACAUGCAAGUCGAACGAGACCUUCGGGUCUAGUGGCGGACGGGUGAGUAACACGUUGGUACCUACCCCUAAGUGGGGAAUAACUGCCCGAAAGGGUGGCUAAUACCGCAUAAUCCCGCAAGGGUAAAGCAGUAAUGCGCUUAGGGAGGGGCCUGCGUCCCAUUAGCUUGUUGGUAGUGUAAUGGACUACCAAGGCGACGAUGGGUAGCUGGAUCGAGAGGUUGACCAGCCACACUGGGACUGAGAUACGGCCCCAGACUCCUACGGGAGGCAGCAGUAAGGAAUCUUCCACAAUGGACGAAAGUCUGAUGGAGCAACACCGCGUGCAGGAUGACGGUCUUCGGAUUGUAAACUGCUUUUAUAUGGGAAGAUUAUGACGGUACCAUAUGAAUAAGGACCGGCUAACUACGUGCCAGCAGCCGC
Molecule: ribosomal RNA, 449 nt
Filed under: uncultured bacterium
Lineage: Bacteria
Description: SSU rRNA
Rfam family: Bacterial small subunit ribosomal RNA
Source: RNAcentral